Mus caroli (Ryukyu mouse) is the source of this 2390-nucleotide non-coding RNA. The record is from RefSeq and is a predicted model, not a curated record. Lineage: Eukaryota; Metazoa; Chordata; Mammalia; Rodentia; Muridae.
AUGGCGCGGACCCCGGGCCCGGCCCCGUUGUGUCCUGGAGGCGGCAAAGCACAACUUUCCUCGGCGUUUCCUCCCGCGGUCGGACUGCUGCUGCCGGCCCCGCCGCCGCCGCCGCUGCUGCUGCUGCUUAUUCCCCUGCUUCUCUUCUCCCGGCUCUGUGGUGCCUUAGCUGGAUCAAUUAUUGUGGAGCCACAUGUCACAGCAGUGUGGGGAAAGAAUGUUUCAUUAAAGUGUUUAAUUGAAGUGAAUGAAACUAUAACCCAGAUCUCAUGGGAGAAGAUACAUGGCAAAAGUACACAGACUGUUGCAGUUCAUCAUCCUCAGUAUGGAUUCUCUGUUCAAGGAGAUUAUCAGGGAAGAGUCUUGUUUAAAAACUAUUCACUUAAUGAUGCAACAAUUACUCUGCAUAACAUAGGCUUCUCAGAUUCUGGAAAAUAUAUAUGCAAAGCCGUUACAUUCCCACUUGGAAAUGCUCAGUCCUCUACAACUGUGACUGUGUUAGUUGAACCCACGGUGAGCCUGAUAAAAGGGCCGGAUUCUUUAAUUGAUGGAGGGAAUGAGACAGUAGCAGCCGUUUGUGUAGCAGCCACUGGAAAGCCAGUCGCACAGAUUGACUGGGAAGGUGAUCUUGGUGAAAUGGAAUCUACUAUAACUUCUUUUCCUAAUGAAACAGCAACGAUUGUCAGCCAAUACAAGCUAUUUCCCACAAGAUUUGCUCGAGGAAGGCGAAUUACUUGUGUUGUAAAACAUCCAGCCUUAGAAAAGGACAUUCGAUACUCUUUCAUACUAGACAUACAGUAUGCUCCUGAAGUUUCAGUAACAGGAUAUGAUGGAAAUUGGUUCGUGGGAAGAAAAGGUGUCAACCUCAAGUGUAAUGCUGAUGCAAAUCCUCCGCCCUUCAAGUCCGUGUGGAGCAGGUUGGAUGGACAAUGGCCCGAUGGUUUAUUGGCGUCAGAUAAUACUCUUCAUUUUGUCCAUCCAUUGACUAUCAAUUAUUCUGGCGUUUAUGUCUGUAAAGUAUCAAAUUCCCUUGGUCAAAGAAGUGAUCAAAAGGUUAUCUACAUUUCAGAUCCUCCUACCACCACCACCCUUCAGCCGACAGUUCAGUGGCAUUCCUCACCUGCUGACGUCCAGGAUAUAGCAACAGAGCAUAAAAAAUUGCCCUUUCCAUUGUCAACUUUGGCAACACUUAAGGAUGACACAGUUGGCACCAUCAUUGCUAGUGUAGUGGUGGGGCUCUCUUCUUAGUGCUUGUAAGCAUUUUGGCUAGGAUAUUCUGCUAUAGGAGACGACGGACGUUUCGUGGAGACUACUUUGCCAAAAACUACAUUCCACCAUCAGACAUGCAGAAAGAAUCGCAGAUUGAUGUUCUUCACCAGGAUGAGCUUGAUUCUUACCCCGACAGUGUAAAAAAGGAAAACAAAAUCCCAGUGAACAACCUCAUCNGUAAAGACUACUUAGAGGAGCCUGAGAAAACACAGUGGAAUAAUGUAGAGAACCUCACUAGGUUUGAAAGACCGAUGGAUUACUAUGAAGAUCUAAAAAUGGGAAUGAAGUUCGUCAGUGAUGAACGCUACAAUGAAAGUGAAGAUGGUUUGGUUUCUCAUGUAGAUGGCUCCAUAAUUUCCAGGAGGGAGUGGUAUGUCUAACAGCCACUGACGCGACUUCACUAUGUACAAGGUUUCAUUCACACUAGUUGACCAUUUUCAGAUUGUUCAUACUUUUUCUUGAGGAAGAAUAAGCUUUUUCAAGUUGAUUUCGAGCUUACUUUUUAUAUUCUGAUCUGACAAAUGAAAAUGUAAAACCUGGGUUCAAUGUAUCUGAGCUGCUUUACAGUUUUCACUGCUAUACUACUGUCUCAAGAUUUAAAUUCUAAUGCAGAGUACUUUAUUGGUCUGAGGCACACAGGUAAGAAAGAUGUCAACAUUAAAUGUAUGACGUUUUUGGUACAAAAAUUAAAAACAGAAAAAAAAGAAACUACCUUGGCAUUGUGUAUUAAAUAUUUACCUAAGACUAUAAUCUCAAGUAUAAUGAUUGUGUAACAUAUACCUCUCAAAACUUAUCACCACUAAGAAUACUCCAUCAAAAUUGACAGUAAAACUCAUUCAAGAAAUGCUUAUAUAUUUUUAGUAUACUAAAAUCAUUCAUNCUGAUGGAGUAUCUUUUCAUCGUCAAACAUUAUUUUCUAAGUUUCUAUAUAGAUAGGAUCUUUACCUCUGCAUUUAAAUGAGCCUUGCCAUAAUUACUGUAGAGUGGCUUUUCAAAGAUAUUUUGUUGCACUAAAACUGUGGCCAUAAACUAAGUGAACACGAUGUGUGGAAGAGCAUAACUAGCUGUUCAAUAUUUUUGUCUAAAAUACAUGCAAGAGUAAUAAAAUAUAUGCCUCCUGA